Molecule: ribosomal RNA, 451 nt
Filed under: uncultured bacterium
Lineage: Bacteria
Description: bacterial SSU rRNA
Rfam family: Bacterial small subunit ribosomal RNA
Source: RNAcentral
GUGAGGAAUUUUGCGCAAUGGGCGAAAGCCUGACGCAGCAACGCCGCGUGAGUGAAGAAGGCCUUCGGGUCGUAAAGCUCUGUCAAGUGGGAAGAAAUUGCAGGGUGUAAAUAGCAUUUUGCAUUGACGGUACCAUUGAAGGAAGCACCGGCUAACUCUGUGCCAGCAGCCGCGGUAAUACGGAGGGUGCGAGCGUUAUUCGGAUUUAUUGGGCGUAAAGGGCGCGUAGGCGGUUUUAUAAGUCAGAUGUGAAAUCCCGAGGCUUAACUUCGGAAGUGCAUUUGAAACUAUGGGACUUGAGUAUGGGAGAGGGAAGUGGAAUUCCUGGUGUAGCGGUGAAAUGCGUAGAUAUCAGGAGGAACACCGGUGGCGAAGGCGACUUCCUGGACUAAUACUGACGCUGAGGCGCGAAGGCGUGGGGAGCAAACAGGAUUAGAUACCCCUGUAGUCC